Molecule: long non-coding RNA, 1398 nt
Organism: Trachemys scripta elegans
Lineage: Eukaryota; Metazoa; Chordata; Testudines; Emydidae
Exons: 3
Source: RefSeq, a predicted model, not a curated record
AUUUCCCAAGGAUAGAAAUUCUGAAUUUUGCUCAGCUCUACUUUGAAGUGUAUAAUAGUUCUAUAAUGAUCUCAUCGUGCAUUAUGUAUCAUGACCUCAAUUUAAUUACAACUGUUUAAGCAAGCCCAAGCGCCUCCACAUUUUACUAAUAGAGCUGUCUCUCUGUCUCUCUGUAACUUUAUUGGCCACAAUGCAGAAGGACUAAUAGCAGUUGGUUAAGCUGUGCAACCAAACUGACUGCUUCUAAGAAUUGUCCCACAAGACCACUGCUACCCCGAAUCCCGGCCUCUCUUGAACAGAGGCUGGAAACUGUGUCAAAUGACAUAAUUGAUUUUCAGAGCCAGCUUCCUGCAAUCUCACCAAUUUCAAAAUGAUCUGCUAGAGCUCAUCUGAGAAUGUAACAGUCGCCGUCCGUGUGCCCCUGGACACUUGGCACAACAUCAGCUGGGAGACGUUUAGCAUCCCAGUCCACCAGCAAGUACCCAGAACUAUAAAACCAGAAGAAGAUCCUUGGCCUUUCGGCCCAUGCUCCAGAAAUGAACUUGCUCUCUAUGUCCUGGAUCUCAAACAAAUUAUUCCAUUUCCUGGCAGAGUAUCUUUAAAAGCAACCACUCCACUGUUUUCAGGAAGCCACCGUGCACUAGACACCUAUCAAGAGAGUUUGAUCAGUUACGGAGGCUACACCAUCCUCUCAUGAUGACCUUGCAGUAAAAGCACAUCCUGCAGCUCUCUUAGCAGGGCUCCUCCAUCAUUUGGAAUGAAGCAGCAUGUUUGUGGAACGGUGCUCUGGCCCCGUCUAGUGGUGGUUGGGCCACAGAUAGAGGUUAAUGUGCCUGCUAAUAGAGUUGGGCCUUUUAGCUCAGGGAGUAGGUGCUCGUAGUUUAAGAUCAAGAGGUUGCAGGUUCAGUCCUGGAUCCAACAACCCACCCAGGGGUGCUGUGUUACAUGUGGCUGCCUGUCUGAGGCUUGGAGCACAGUAUUACAUUUGCACAGUACCUGGAGCUACCACGAUGCCCAUCCUCCCUCACUGGCUACCUUUAUAAUGGCCAAUUGAUUUUCAUGUAAGACUGUUGGUUUUUAAAGUACUGAAUGUUCCACAACUGGGCUGUAUUCCAGACCUGCUCCUCCAGCCUUGGUUUAAUGGGUAUCUAUGCAUGCACACCCUUUAAGGAUCCCACCGCUGCAACUUGAGUCAGUCAGAGCUGGAUUUUCCGAAGAGCUCAGCUCCCAUUUAUGCUCCAAAAAUAAGCAGGCAGAUUUUCAGACGUGCUCAGCCUGUUCUUUUGAAACUCGGAUACGUCUUCCUCCAGCUUAGAGAGUGGGCACCAUUUUUCCAAAAUGUGAAAUUUCAAUGGAACUUUUUCGGGCCAUUUUUUGGAAAAAUUUUGCAAAAGGUUU